GCGUAGAAGCUUCUCAUGGUGGGUCUGUUCGCCCUUUAAAAUCUAACAUGAGCUGAGUUCAGAACGGCGUGAGCUAGUUCAGUUUCUAUCCUCUUUUUGAAAUGAGCUAAUUUUGUACGAAAGGACUUUUUCGCUAAAGCAAUGCUUUGUCACAAAUCUGUGGUUGCAUAAAUAAUAGGGUAUAAUAGGUUGAUUAGCCUAUAGGAAGGGUUA
Molecule: ribosomal RNA, 213 nt
Filed under: Mytilus galloprovincialis (Mediterranean mussel)
Lineage: Eukaryota; Metazoa; Mollusca; Bivalvia; Mytilida; Mytilidae
Description: partial 16S ribosomal RNA
Rfam family: Bacterial large subunit ribosomal RNA (bases 1-94)
Source: RNAcentral